CCUACGGGUGGCUGCAGUGAGGAAUAUUGGUCAAUGGGCGCGAGCCUGAACCAGCCAAGUAGCGUGAAGGAUGACUGCCCUACGGGUUGUAAACCUCUUUUAUAAAGGAAUAAAGCGCGGCACGUGUGCCUUUUUGCAUGUACCUUAUGAAUAAGCAUCGGCUAACUCCGUGCCAGCAGCCGCGGUAAUACGGAGGAUCCGAGCGUUAUCCGGAUUUAUUGGGUUUAAAGGGAGCGUAGAUGGGUUGUUAAGUCAGUUGUGAAAGUUUGCGGCUCAACCGUAAAAUUGCAAUUGAUACUGGCAGUCUUGAGUACAGUUGAGGUAGGCGGAAUUCGUGGUGUAGCGGUGAAAUGCUUAGAUAUCACGAAGAACUCCGAUUGCGAAGGCAGCUUACUAAACUGCCACUGACAUUGAUGCUCGAAAGUGUGGGUAUCAAACAGGAUUAGAUACCCCGGUAGUC
Molecule: ribosomal RNA, 460 nt
Filed under: uncultured bacterium
Lineage: Bacteria
Description: partial 16S ribosomal RNA
Rfam family: Bacterial small subunit ribosomal RNA
Source: RNAcentral